Long non-coding RNA from Cyprinus carpio (common carp), 1339 nucleotides. RefSeq lists it as uncharacterized. Lineage: Eukaryota; Metazoa; Chordata; Actinopteri; Cypriniformes; Cyprinidae. The transcript has 6 exons. The record is from RefSeq and is a predicted model, not a curated record.
AAAGGAUCUAUGCCAGGGCGAGCAAAUGGCGGCCCCCAGAUCAUUUUUAUCUGGCCCUCCAACUGGUUUUUGAUGUUUAAAAACCCUCUCAAUCUGAUAUCAAAGUGCCCUCUGCGCAAAGGUUUAGCGCGUUCAUCAGCGGUGAGUUUAACAACACUCAACUGCAGGUAAAACGGCAUUCAGAGGUGAGUUUGACCAAAGCAACGCUCAACUGCAGGUAAAAGCAUUAAAAUGUGAGUUUAACAACGCUCCAAGGCGCGUGCAAGUAAGCAGUUUAAGCGUUUUAUUACAACCCAUUCUCACUCCUAAAGCGCCAAAAACUGACGCCUCUAGCGUCACUAUGAAGACGCCAAAGGCGCCCCUCGGCGUCGCUAUAUCGACGCACUAGGACCUACAUUGCUUUAAGUGGGAAACUUUUGGCGUCAGUACUCAGACGCGAAGGGCAUGAGAUGUUUAUCGCUAUGAAAUCACGUUCAAGAAGUCUCAUUCAGCGCACAUCGCGAUAUUUGCCAUCAGUUUACAUGUGCCACAGGUUGGCUGAAAAGACAUGAAGGAAGCAGUCAGCCCAGUCGUGUUUGUGGAGAGGUAUUCCUUCAGAAAUGGAGAAGAUAGAAAGCUGCGGAGGCAGACAUUUGCAGCAGUCUACAACAUCGAGCUCAACAGAUCUUUUAAGAGCCAACCCUCACAAACCUUGCUCUCAGCGAAUCUUGCCAUGAUCAGCCCUUUCCAGAAGAGAAGAUCAAGGAAAUUAUUUGUUCAGGAUGAGGAAUGAAGACGGCCAUCUUGUGCCCAAACGAAGACAGAAAGCUGUCCACUGAUGAUCUCAUCAGCCAAAUGAGGGGUUUUGACCAAGUGAUGGUCUUGAAAGGAAUGAAAGAAGAGGAUGUGGUAAAUUGUCUUCAAAGAAAAAGCUUCUCAAAAGGUCUUAAAACAGCUUGAAGAAUGGUCUGGGAACUGUCUGAAAAUGGGAUGUUAGGACUGAGAGAUCCUCUGGCUGAGAAAAAGCUACACCAGAUCAGUGCUGGAUAUCAACCACAAACUGUUUCCAGACACGAGAGAAGAAGAUCAUGAUGGGGAAAUGAAACCAGUUUAGAUGUGAUGAUAAGGAAUCAUUAUUUUCUGAAACAGUAUCACAUGUCUUAUAUGUAUCACAUGAUCUGUAUCACAGUUGCCUGGAUGGGAUUGUGUGACUUUUAAGGACAUUUCAUUACUCAUCUGUGUGAACUGAUUAAUUUAUGAUAUUAAUGAAUUUUUGAUGAUCCAUUAUUAUUUUCCUUGAAUCUUAUUUGUCUUGAUGCUACUUUAUCAACUUUAUAGUCUAUGCUUCAAUAAAAUUAAU